This 468-nucleotide ribosomal RNA is filed under the name uncultured bacterium. Its description in RNAcentral is "partial 16S ribosomal RNA". It matches the Rfam family "Bacterial small subunit ribosomal RNA", at positions 28 to 507 of the family's 1533-position model. The record is from RNAcentral.
GACGAACGCUGGCGGCGUGCUUAACACAUGCAAGUCGAACGGAAAGGCCCUGCUUUUGUGGGGUGCUCGAGUGGCGAACGGGUGAGUAACACGUGAGUAACCUGCCCUUGACUUUGGGAUAACUUCAGGAAACUGGGGCUAAUACCGGAUAGGAGCCCCUGCUGCAUGGUGGGGGUUGGAAAGUUUCGGCGGUUGGGGAUGGACUCGCGGCUUAUCAGCUUGUUGGUGGGGUAGUGGCUUACCAAGGCUUUGACGGGUAGCCGGCCUGAGAGGGUGACCGGCCACCUUGGGACUGGGAUACCGCCCAGACUCCUACGGGAGGCAGCAGUGGGGAAUAUUGCACAAUGGGCGGAAGCCUGAUGCAGCAACGCCGCGUGCGGGAUGACGGCCUUCGGGUUGUAAACCGCUUUCGCCUGUGACGAAGCGUGAGUGACGGUAAUGGGUAAAGAAGCACCGGCUAACUACGUG